This 4374-nucleotide ribosomal RNA is filed under the name Triticum aestivum (bread wheat). RNAcentral describes it as "partial small subunit ribosomal RNA". The record is from RNAcentral. Lineage: Eukaryota; Viridiplantae; Streptophyta; Magnoliopsida; Poales; Poaceae.
AUGUCGCUGCCACCGGUGGACCCGCCGGAGUGGCUGCGCACACUACCCGUGGCGCCGGAGUACCGCCCCACCCUCGCCGAGUUCGCUGACCCCAUCGCCUACAUCCUCAAGAUCGAGCCAGAGGCCUCUCGCUACGGCAUCUGCAAGAUCGUCCCCCCGCUCCCCUCGCCGCCCCGCGAGGCCACCGUUCAGCUCCUCAAGGCCUCGUUCGCCUCCAAUGCGGCCGCUUCCGCUUCCGGCGACGCUGGCCCCACCUUCCCGACGCGGCUCCAGCAGGUGGGCCUCUCCACAAAGAACCGUCGCGGCGCGAACCGUCGCGUCUGGGAGAGCGGCGAGCGCUACACCCUGGAGGCCUUCCGUACCAAGGCCCGCGACUUCGAACUCCCGAGGCACGCGAUACCCCCGAAGCACGCGACGCCCCUCCAGCUGGAGGCGCUCUUCUGGGGUGCUUGCGCUGCGAGGCCAUUCAGUGUCGAGUACGGCAAUGACAUGCCGGGGUCCGGCUUCGUCAAACGGGAGGUGCCAGACCUGGACACUGACAGUCCGGUAGCAGCGCCCAGGGACGUCGGCGAGACGGAGUGGAACAUGAGGGUGGCUCCGCGCGCUCGGGGCUCGCUGCUGCGAGGGAUGAGCCGGGACGUCGCUGGCGUCACGACGCCGAUGCUAUAUGUGGCGAUGCUCUACAGCUGGUUCGCGUGGCACGUGGAGGACCACGAGCUGCAUAGCCUCAACUACCUCCACUUCGGCAAGCCCAAGACUUGGUACGGCGUGCCCCGAGAUGCCAUGCUUGCCUUCGAGGAUGCCGUCCGUGUCCAUGGGUACGCAGACGACCUCAAUGCCAUCAUGGCCUUCCAAACUUUAAAUCAGAAGACAACCGUCUUGUCCCCUGAAGUGCUACUUUCUGUGGGAGUUCCUUGCUGCAGAUUGGUUCAGAACCCUGGAGAAUUUGUUAUCACCUUCCCUGGAGCUUAUCAUUGUGGUUUUAGCCAUGGAUUUAAUUGUGGGGAAGCAACAAAUAUUGCCACUCCUCUCUGGUUGCAGGUGGCCAAAGAAGCUGCAAUCCGGAGGGCUUCAACUAAUUGUGGUCCAAUGAUUUCUCAUUAUCAGCUGCUUUACGAGCUUGCAUUGUCAUUAAGUCAAAGGGAACCUAAGGAUCUCCAUACUCUUCCAAGAAGCUCUCGAUUAAGGGAUAAGAAGAAGAAGGAUGAAGGAGAUACAAUGGUGAAAGAAAAAUUUGUUGGAAGUGUGAUUGAAAAUAACAAUUUGCUUAGUAUCCUUCUGGAUAAGAGUUCUUGUAUAAUUGUUCCUGAGACUCCAUUUCCUCCUACAUCCUUUCCUACGAUGAUGGAACCUGAACUCACUGUUAAACAAAGUUUGACGGGUGGUCACUGUAGUAUUAGUCAGCAAGCAGUGCACAAUAUGUCUGUUGAUGUGGCACUAGACAAAAGUAUAGUAGUAGAGAACAUGAGUCACUCUCAGUCAGUUACUGAAGCAUCUUUAUCUGCAUACAACAGAAGAAAGCUUUAUGAAACAAAAUAUGGUGAACUUGGCACUGCUGCCUUCUGUUUAUCACCAUCCAAGUUGCAGAGUGGAGUAACUGAUAAAGAUAAGAGAGGUGGGCUCUUAGAUCAGGGGCGGUUGCCGUGCGUUCAGUGUGGCAUAUUAAGCUUUGCUUGUGUUGCCAUCAUUCAACCUAGAGAAGUUAGUGAAUCAGAUGGUAUCUCAAAUUGGAUAACCAACAAUAUUGAGAUGGUUCCUCAACAAGGACAAGCUUCGGAAGCACUUACCGUAAGUUUAGCCCAUGUAUCUGAUCGGUGUGGACAACUAUACAGCAGGAACAAUAAUGGAUCAACCUCUGCUCUAGGGCUUCUAGCUUCUACUUACGGAUCAUCAGACUCUGAGGAGGAAUCAAACCAAGGCAAAAAUAAUCAGUUAUUGGAAACAUCAGUUAGCUUCUCAAGUACAGUUCAGCGUCAAAGAUCAAAUUCGCACUUGUAUGAAGAGUGUUGUGAAGCCAAAACCACAACUUCUUUGCUGAAAUCUAUAGAGGAUAAUAGUACGACAAUAACUCGAUGUGGUAGGGACACAGAUAUCAAUCAUUUAGCAAAGCUGAGGGAGCAAGGAACAACCUAUGAUCAGUGUUCUGUCUACGUUGAUUUGGCUAAUGAUCUAACCAUAUCAGGUGUAAAAGCCUAUUCAGAUACUCAUGUAACCACAGCUAAGUCCUCAAUUGAACCAGAUGUGUUGACCCAGCUCAAGUACAACAAUGAUUCUUGCAGAAUGCAUGUAUUUUGUCUAGAACAUGCUUUGGGGACAUGGACACAACUUCAAAAAAUUGGUGGUGCUAAUGUUAUGCUCUUGUGUCAUCCGGAAUAUCCUAGAGCAGAGUCAGCAGCAAAAUUCAUAGCAGAAGAACUUGGUUUGAAGCCUGAUUGGAAAGAUGUAGCUUUUGAAGAAGCAACUGAUGAUGACAUCAGAAGAAUUCAGUUGGCUUUGCAUGAUGAAGAUGCUGAACCUGCAAGCAAUGACUGGGCAGUUAAAAUGGGUAUCAAUAUAUACUACAGUGCAAAACAGAGCAAAUCCCCGCUUUACAGCAAGCAGAUACCAUACAAUUCCAUCAUUUACGAGGCAUUUGGCCAAGAAAACCCAGACAAUUUGACAGAUUAUGGACGGCAAAGAUCAGGCGUGACAAAGAAAAGAGUGGCUGGAUGUUGGUGCGGGAAAGUUUGGAUGUCAAACCAAGUCCAUCCCUUUUUAGUUCGUGAGCAUGAAGAACACAAUCGUGCCAUAGUUUGCAGCAAAGUGAUGCUUGGUGCUAAUUACCAUGAGAUAGUAUACGAUGAACCAUCGCUUACAUGUAAUACAAUGGUUAACUGUAGCCCAUCAAAAAGGAUAUCCAGAAGGAAAGGAAGGGACUCUAUUGAAAAAUCUGGAGCCAGAAAGAAGAGAUGCUCCGCCAAUGAUGAAGCCACUUUACAUUGCAGUAGCCUUGGGAUGAACUCUAAAACCAUCAGCGAUCAGCCUAGAAACUUCGAUGAUCAUGACAAACAUGAAGGAGGUAAAAUUACAGAAGCACCAAGCACUCAGCAAUAUCAACAAUAUACCUUGCAAAGCAUGAACAUGAAGUCAAGUUCUAACAAGCCAAAGGAUGAUAAAGGAAACCGCAAUUUUCUUGACCUUUAUGAUGAAGCUAAUGACGUGGACUGCUGGUUUAACAUAGAUUCUGGAGAUAAUGCUGCAAUACGACACUUGGAAGACAGUCGACAACAAGAACUUGGUACUGUGAAAGCUAAAUCUCCAGGUAAAUUGCAAGGUAAUAUGAGAAAAUCGAGCAAGUGCAAGGCGAGAGAUGAUUCUCUGAAUGGAGACAAGAAAGUGCAAAAGAUGAAUAAGAAAUCAAUUUCUAGGAAGCAAAAGGACGUCGAGAUAAAUACACAGUUUCGAGAAGAAUACGAUGAAGAUAACAACUGGGAGGAAGUUCCAGAAGGAAAAGAUCAUGAUGUGAAAGUGGAAUCUAGAGCCAAAACACGAAGUGGUGAGGAUAAUAAAAGAAACAACAACUCCCAUGAACUACAUGAUGAAGAUAAUGAUAUGGAUUGCUGGCAUGACAUACAUGGCCGAGAUAAUGCCACAAUGGGAAACUUGGAUAACAGUCCAGUACAAAGACUUGAGGCUGCGGAAGUGAAAUCUGGUGGUAAAUUGCAUUGCUGUAAGAGAAAAUCCAGCAAGGGCAAGGCAAAGGAUGAUUACUCAUAUGGAGAUGAGAAAUUGCAAAUGCUGAACAUAGAAUCAAUCUCUAGGAAGCAAAAGAGUGAUAGCCAGUUUGAUGAAGGUUGCGACAGAGAUAACGCUUUGGACUCUUUGCUUAAUGAUGUGGAUGAAGCCGCACGAGAGAACUGUUAUGAAGUUCGGGAAGAAGAAAUGGAUGGCAUGGAAGUGAAGCCUAGAGGGAAGAUGCAAACUGGUAAGAGAAAAACCAGCAGAUGUCAAGCGGGUGAUAAAGCAGCUAAAUUUCCUUGUGAUAUAGAAGGGUGUGACAUGAGCUUCAGCUCACAGCAGGAUUUGUUGUUGCACAAGCGUGAUAUUUGUCCUGUUAAAGGAUGCAAGAAAAAGUUCUUCUGCCAUAAAUACCUGCUCCAGCACCGCAAAGUGCACAUGGAUGAAAGGCCACUCAACUGUGAAUGGAAGGGCUGCAAGAAGACAUUCAAGUGGCCAUGGGCUAGGACAGAACACAUGAGGGUCCAUACGGGGGUGCGACCUUAUGAAUGCAUGGUACCUGGCUGUGGUCAGACAUUCAGAUUUGUGUCGGAUUUCAGCCGCCACAAGAGAAAGACUGGCCAUUCCAGUGGUAAGAAAAAUAAGGAGAGUACAUAA